This is an RNA transcript of Grammomys surdaster, 1833 nucleotides long. It is a transcript of the gene named complement C5-like, with no coding region annotated. The transcript is spliced from 12 exons. Lineage: Eukaryota; Metazoa; Chordata; Mammalia; Rodentia; Muridae. The record is from RefSeq and is a predicted model, not a curated record.
UUCAAAGAGGUGACCUAUAUGGUUUUGAUACCGUCUCAAGCCAUGGGCUUUUGGGGAACGCUUCUGGUUUUGAUCUUCCUUGAGCCAAGCUGGGGACAGGAACAAACCAGAUACAUCAUUUCAACCCCAAUCGUCUUCCGAGUUGGAGCUCCUGAAAAUAUUACAGUUGAAGCCCACGGCUACACUGAGGCAUUUGACACAACCAUCUCUGUAAAAAGUUAUCCUGAUGAAAAUGUUCAUUACACUUCGGGCACUGUUAAUUUAUCACCAGAAAAUAAAUUCCAAAACUCUGCAGUCUUAACAAUUCAGGCCAAACAGUUGUUUGAAGGACAAAACUCGUUUUCAAAUGUGUAUUUGGAAGUCGUGUCAAAGCAUUUUUCCAAAUUAGAAAUGAUGCCAAUCAUCUAUGACAACAGCUCUCUCUUCGUUCACACCGACAAGCCUGUGUACACUCCACAACAGCCUGUAAAGGUUGGCGUCUACUCAGUGGAGAAUGACUUAGUGCCAGUCACCAGAGAAACAGUCUUAACUUUCAUAGACCCUGAAGGAUUCGAAGUUGACAUAAUAGAGGGACACAAUCACACGGGGAUUGCCUCCUUUCCUGACUUCGAGAUUCCUUCUAAUCCUAAACAUGGUAGAUGGACAAUUAAGGCUAAAUAUAGAGAAGAUGCUUCAACAACUGGAACUACAUACUUUGAAGUUAAAGAACAUGAUAAAGCUUACAGAAUAACUGUCAUGCCCGCAACUGAUCUGCAACCUGAGGUGGAAAAGCAAGAAGAAGUACAUGACAUGUGUCACCAGCCAUCAGAUUGUCUGGAACAGAAAAUAAAAGAACAAGCUUCUAAAUACAAACAUCCAAUGAUAAAGAAAUGCUGUUACGAUGGAAGCAAACAUAAGGUCCGUGAGACCUGCGCACAGAGGGCUGCCCGCGUGAAGAUAGGCCCGGUCUGUGUCAGAGCUUUCACUCACUGCUGUACCGUGGCACACCAGAUCCUAGGCGAUAGCACCUUUAAGCAUGUCCAUGUGGCAAUGGGCCUCGGCAGGUCCAGUCCAGAGGAGAGAGAGGUCCUGGUCUUGCUGGGUCUCCCCGAAGCUGAGCGGGACGGUAACUAAAUUGUAAUUGAUACCUGUAAGGCUCAGGCUAUAGACACAUUCACACAUUCAAAGUACAAUUCUUCGGUCUGUUAAAGAGGAAUUUUGAAAGGCUGAGAAAAAUCACUCCAAAUGGCUAAAAACAACUAAGUCUUUUCUCCCAGACAGACACCUAGCAUAAUUGUCCUUUGAGAGCCUCCGCCCAGCAGCCAAUGGAAAGAGAUGCAGAGAUCCACAGCCCAACAUUAAAUGGAGCUCGAGGAGUCUUAUGGAAGAGCUGGAAGAAGGAUGAGGGACCUAAAGAAGACAGGGACUCCACGGGAAGACCAACAGAGUCAACUAGCCUGGGCCCUUGGGGGUUCCCAGAGCCUGAAUCACCAAACAAAGAACAAGGACUGACUGGACCUAGGCCUCCUGCACAUAUGUAACAGGAGCAGCUUGGUCUUUCUGCGGGUCCCCUAACAACUAACUGGAGAAGCUGUCCCUGAAUCUGUCACCUGCAUGCCUGUGGAUCCUGUUCCCCUAAAUGGUCUGCCUUGUCUGGCCUCAGUCGGAGAGGAUGCACCUAGUCCUGCAGGGACUUGAGUGUGUGGGGGUAACACCCAGAGUGGGGCUCCUGCUUCGCAAAGUAGAAGGAGAGGGUGGAAUGGGGGGUGGAGAUCUGCAUGAGGGGGUACUGGGAGGAGACAGAGGGUUGAUAUUGUGAUGUAAAGUGAAUAAAUGCAUUUAAUGAAAAAUGAA